UUGACCUCGGAUCAGGUAGGGAUACCCGCUGAACUUAAGCAUAUCAAUAAGCGGAGGAAAAGAAACCAACAGGGAUUGCCUCAGUAACGGCGAGUGAAGCGGCAAGAGCUCAAAUUUGAAAGCUGGCCCCUUCGGGGUCCGCGUUGUAAUUUGCAGAGGAUGCUUCGGGUGCAGCCCCCGUCUAAGUGCCCUGGAACGGGCCGUCAUAGAGGGUGAGAAUCCCGUCUGGGACGGGGUGUCUGCGUCCGUGUGAAGCUCCUUCGACGAGUCGAGUUGUUUGGGAAUGCAGCUCUAAAUGGGUGGUAAAUUUCAUCUAAAGCUAAAUACUGGCCGGAGACCGAUAGCGCACAAGUAGAGUGAUCGAAGAUGAAAAGCACUUUGAAAAGAGAGUUAAACAGCACGUGNAAUUGUUGAAAGGAAGCGUUUGCACCAGACUCGCCCGCGGGGUUCA
Molecule: ribosomal RNA, 451 nt
Filed under: Aspergillus fumigatus
Lineage: Eukaryota; Fungi; Ascomycota; Eurotiomycetes; Eurotiales; Aspergillaceae
Description: eukaryotic LSU rRNA
Rfam family: Eukaryotic large subunit ribosomal RNA
Source: RNAcentral